This is a long non-coding RNA of Symphalangus syndactylus (siamang), 1004 nucleotides long. RefSeq lists it as uncharacterized. The record is from RefSeq and is a predicted model, not a curated record. Lineage: Eukaryota; Metazoa; Chordata; Mammalia; Primates; Hylobatidae.
CUGGCUGAGAUUUACUACGGCAAAAAGAUGCGAUGCAGAAUUAGCAACAGGAAAAUGCAUUUGGGGUGAGGGCCAGAGGAAACCAGGGUCAUCCUCUGUUGCCCCAACUGGUUUCAAACUCCUGGGCUCAAGUGAUCCUCCUGCCUCUGCCUCCCAGAGUGUUGAGAUUACAGGCAUGAGCCACGGUGCCCAGUCUCACCCACUGGUUUCUUCUGACAGAACCAAGGACACACACCUGGUUAAUGAUGCCCUCAAGGCUGUGAGGAGAAAGACAACCGGGUGAAGCAACGCUGGGAAUUCAACGCAUCAGUUACCUUCCCAGGUAAGAGGAGCUACCUGAGCUCCUAAGAGUUGAUCUUCAGCUGCUGUCAUGGAAAAUACUGGGGGUCAACUAGACAUCAAAGAUGAAAGGCCAGGCCUCCAGCACAACUUUCUCUGUAAGCCAAAUAGUGGCUUUCUCAAAGAAAUCUUUUUUUCAAAAAAAUGUUUUGUAAAGACAGGGUCUUGUUCUGUCACCCAGGCUGGACUGCAGUGCAUGGUUCACUGCAGCCUCCACCUCCCGGACUCGGGUGAUCCUCCCCUUUUCUGAGGAGCUCAGACCACAAGCGUGUACCACUAUGCUCAGCUGAUUUAUAAACCUUUUUUUUUUAGAGACAACGUUUCACCAUGUUGGCCAGGCUGUUUUCUUUUCUUCUUUUUUUUUUUUGAAGCAGAGUUUCACUCUUGUUGCCCAGGCUGGAGUGCAGUGGCGUGAUCUUGGCUCGCUGCAACCUCUGCCUCCCAGGUUCAAGGGAUUCUCCUGCCUCAGCCUCCCAAGCAGCUGGGAUUACAGCAUAGCUGGGAUUACAGGCAUGCACCACCAUGCCCGGCUAAUUUUGUAUUUUUAGUAGAGAUGGGAUUUCUCCAUGUUGAUCAGGCUGGUCUUGAACUCCUGACCUCAGGUGAUCCGCCUGCCUCAGCCUCCCAAGCAGCUGGGAUUACAGCGUAGCUGGGAUGACAGGCGG